Molecule: ribosomal RNA, 500 nt
Filed under: uncultured archaeon
Lineage: Archaea
Description: bacterial SSU rRNA
Rfam family: Bacterial small subunit ribosomal RNA
Source: RNAcentral
GCCGCGUGAGUGAAGAAGGCCUCUGGGUUGUACAGCUCUUCUGUAAGGGAAGAUAAUGACUGUACCUUACUGAUAAGGUCCGGCUACCUCCGUGCCAGCAGCCGCGGUACUACGAACGGACCUAGCGUAGUUCGGAAUUACUGGGCUGUAAAGCGCGCGUAGGCCGUUGAGUUCAGUUCAUAGUGAAAUCCCAAAGCUUAACUUUGGAACUGCAAUUAAAACUGCUCGACUAUAGUUUGAUAGAGGAAAGCGGAAUACAUAGUGUAGAGGUGAAAUUCGUAGAUAUUAAUGUAGAACACCAGUUGCGAAAGCGGCUUUCAGGGUCAACACUGACGCUGAGGCGCGAAAGUAUGGGUAGCAAAGAGGAUUAAAUACCCUCGAUAGUCCAUACCAUAAACGAUGAUUGCUAGAUGUUGGAAAUUCAUUUUCAAGUAUCGCAGCUAACGCAUUAAGCAAUCCGGCUGAGGAAGUCGAGCGCAAGGUUAAAACUCAAAUGAAAU